This 513-nucleotide long non-coding RNA is filed under the name Numida meleagris (helmeted guineafowl). RNAcentral describes it as "lncRNA (ENSNMEG00000018092.1)". The record is from RNAcentral. Lineage: Eukaryota; Metazoa; Chordata; Aves; Galliformes; Numididae.
UAAACUGACCGGAUUUAUUUUUCAGAGCUGAAAUAUUUCCUCACCUCUCCCUUCAUGCUGCAGGAUCCCCGGAGGUUUGUCAUAAAACAUCCUCAUUGGUGACCCCCAAGAAAAAGAGAAUUGCCCAAACACAGAGAAAAGGACAUUGUGACUUCACCUGCUUGAAGGACACCUGUGUUCGCUGCACUUGGAAGCUGACAUAAACAAGCUGUAAACACCUGGAAACCCAAGCAGCGUCAGCAAAGCACAGUGCUGUUCUUGUGCUCAUCAGCCCAUAAGAGAAGCUGACUGAAGAUUGUGGUGACUGCACCACAACUGCCCCAGCACAUUUAACUUCAAGAUAGAGUCAGCUGUUUUGUCAGCACCUCUGCAUUCUGUGAGUUGUAGCAUGAACUAGCUGGCAUUUGUGCUUCAUUGAAAGCUCCCUAAGUGGGAGUAGCAUGGCUGCCCAAUGUGGUCUGGAUGUGAUGGUCAUGUCAAUUAGCCUAUGAUCAGUGCUCCCAUUCUUCAUCC